RNAcentral lists this small RNA (3522 nucleotides) under Pongo abelii (Sumatran orangutan). RNAcentral's name for it is "retained intron". Lineage: Eukaryota; Metazoa; Chordata; Mammalia; Primates; Hominidae. The record is from RNAcentral.
UUCUGGAAGAAGAAGAAGAGCAUGAUUGGCAUGUCCACCAAGGCAGGUAGGUGCCCCGAGCGUGGCCCUGCUUAGAUGCUCUGCCCAGGGGGCGCUCACUGGAGCGUGCGGUAGAGGGCUGCUUGCCUCACUGCUGGCUGCAGACACAGCCCCGGGUGUGUGCUUGGCUCUUGAGAAGCCUUUGAGACCAGGCACCGUAAAGCCCAGGGAGCCGUUGCGGCAAUUGUGGUGGGACCGUCGGAGGCUGCGCGGCUCAGGGCCUCCAGAGGCUGUGCGGCUUCGGGCCUGGCUGCGGACUCUGGCGUGCAGGGGGUCUGGGCCUGGGCUGUGGAGAGUGAGAUGCAUGGACCUCUCGAGCCUUCCCGGCUGCUCAUGGGCGCUGAGCAGGGCUGGGGCCUCACAUCCCCUGUCUUGGUUCCCUCGCCCCGUCCUCCCACCGGUGUUCCUUCCCCGACCAGCGCAGGCCUGCGCGUGUGGGGCCUGCCAGGUGAUGGCAGUUGAUAGGCCCGUGGUGCUGUGCCUGGCAGUGGCAGGCAGUGUGCAGCUGUUAGGGAGGGCAGUCAGGGACCCCUGAGGCCAGGCAGCCCAGGCAGGAGGCCUGCCAAGAUCUGGGACCGGUGUUCCUGGCCAAGGGUGCCUGCCGUGGUUAAGGGGCCCAAGUGAGUGAGGGGUCCUCCUGACCUUGCAGGGGUGGAGGUUGUCACAGUGGGAUGGGGAGCUGCAGUCUGGACAGGGGCAAGGGGUUGACGGGUGUGAGGAGGAGGAGUGGGGGGUCCUGUUGGUUAGGAGUGAGGAGCAUUGGGCUUCAGUAUCAGACCCAAACAAGUUGUUUUUCUCACAUGGAAAAGACAGCCAAGCAGGUGGCCCUGGAAGCCUGGGGGCCCUGCCAUGUUCUGUGUUGUUGUCUCCGAACCCUAAUGCCUUUCCCAGCGUCCCGGGUUGGGGUGCCCAUGGCCACUCUUUGUCCUGUGGCUCCGUGGAUCUGGCUCCCCUGCCUGCCCUGGGGGCUUGUGGGAGGAGGAAGAUGUGUUGGAUAAGCCAGAGUGGUUCUUAAGGUACAGCUGGGGAGGAAACAAAUCCAGACUUGAAAAGCCACGCGCUUAUCACAGAACUGGCAUAAGACCCGCCCGGAAGCAAAGCUGUGCUGGCCCCGUCAUCCGACCUCUGCCCACGUUCCAUGCUCAUUUGCAAGUGUGGCUCAGACAUGUAUUUGUGGAGCUGGUGUGGGGCCAACUGUUCAGUUCAGGAGCCUUCAAAACACUUUCCUAGCUGCUAGAUGCUUCAUUGUUCUUUUUAAACGGGGUGACGUGGACUGGGGAGUAUCUGGAGCUUCUUGGGCGUGGUGGGUUGGGAUGGGGGACUGGGGGUAUGUGUGUGACUUGGGGGGCACAGGUGGGGUCUGCCCUGCACCCCCUCCCAGCCCGACCAUCCUAUCCCCAGUGCUCUGGCGCUGCUUCAGCACCGUGGUCAUCUUCCUGUUCCUGCUGGAUGAGCAGACGAGCCUGCUGGUGCUGGUCCCGGCGGGCGUUGGAGCUGCCAUUGAGCUGUGGAAAGUUAAGAAGGCAUUGAAGAUGACUAUUCUUUGGAGAGGCCUGAUGCCCGAAUUUGAGGUAGGAUUUAGUUGUAGUGGCUGAACCCCAAGCCUCUCUGAAGAGUGUGGUUUUGCCCCCUGCGCAUGGAGUAAGGUGGCUAUCUGCAGAUGAGUCACUGCAGGCUUCUGUCAGGGGAGCCUCCGUGGUGGAGGCAGCGCUGGUUUCUGAUCGCAGCCACUCUCUUUGCCUGAGGAUUCCCCAGUCAUAUACCUAGUUCUGACCCUCUUCAGUGCAGAUGGCAGCACUUCUGGGCCUGAGCCGGCCUCUGGGAGAAAGGAUGCUGGCUGGCCAGCACGGGUGCUUCGUUUUGGCACCUUGCCCAGAGGCGCUCCCAAGGCUGGUGCUGACUGGGGUCCGUACAGUCCUGGCAAUCCUCAAGUGAGUGAGCCCCUGCUCUGAGCUGGUGGCUGCCCCAGUGCCUGGAUGCUCAUAAGGCCCCUAGGUAGAUGAGGGCUGGGGCAGAGCUGGAGUUGAAUCUCAGUGCCCACGGACGGACCUUGUUUGAGGCGGGGCCCUCAGCAGUCACAGGCUGAGAUUUUCCAUGCUGUGGGCAGGGGGUGGCAGAAAGCCCAGCAGAUGCAGCGCACCCACUGUGUUCCACCUUGCCCCGUGGCUCCUGGCCGGCUGCUUCGGAGCAGUGUUGGCUGUGCCUGUGCACUCUGCAGUGUUCUCACUGAAGGAGUGGCACUGAAAACUGAGCCGCCUGAGCGAGGAACAGCAGUGAGGCUGCGUUGUCCCCGUCAGGCUUGCGGGACCCAGGGCCAGGGUGAGGCGGGAAGGAUCCAUGCAGAUCCCUGUCCUCUGGGUCCUCUCCUCGCCCGGUAGGGACCUGAGCGCCCUCUGUAGCGAGGCCUGGGUCAGCUCUGCAGCCAUGUGUGACGCCCCUUAGUCACAGCUCAGCUGUGCCCAGAUCCUCCCUGAGUGUAUUAAUAUGACUGUGUUGAAUUUCACAACAGUUUGGCACUUACAGCGAAUCUGAGAGGAAAACCGAGGAGUACGAUACUCAGGCCAUGAAGUACUUGUCGUACCUGCUGUACCCGCUCUGUGUCGGGGGCGCUGUCUAUUCACUCCUGAACAUCAAAUACAAGAGCUGGUACUCCUGGUUAAUCAACAGCUUCGUCAACGGGGUCUAUGCCUUCGGUUUCCUCUUCAUGUUGCCCCAGCUCUUUGUGAACUACAAGUUGAAGUCAGUGGCACAUUUGCCCUGGAAGGCUUUCACCUACAAGGCUUUCAACACCUUCAUUGAUGACGUUUUUGCCUUCAUCAUCACCAUGCCCACGUCUCACCGGCUGGCCUGCUUCCGGGACGACGUGGUGUUUCUGGUCUACCUGUACCAGCGGUGGCUUUAUCCUGUGGAUAAACGCAGAGUGAACGAGUUCGGGGAGUCCUACGAGGAGAAGGCCACGCGGGCGCCCCACACGGACUGAAGGCCGCCCAGGCUGCCGCCGGCCAAGUGCAACUUGAAUUGUCAAUGAGUAUUUUUGGAAGCAUUUGGUGGAAUUCCUAGACAUUGCAUUUUCUGUGUUGCCAAAAUCCCUUCGGACAUUUCUCAGACAUCUCCCAAGUUCCUGUCACAUCAGAUUUGGAGCUGGUAGCGCUUACGAUGCCCCCACGUGUGAACAUCUGUCUUGGUCACAGAGCUGGGUGCUGCCGGUCACCUUGAGCUGUGGUGGCUCCCGGCACACGAGUGUCCGGGGUUCGGCCAUGUCCUCACGCUGGCAGGGGCGGGAGCCCUCGUGCUGGCAGGGGGGCUGUCGGAUUUCCAUUUCAGGUGGUUUUCUAAGUGCUCCUUAUGUGAAUUUCAAACACAUAUGGAAUUCAUUCCGCAUGGACUCUGGGAUCAAAGCCUCUUUCCUCUUUUGUUUGAGAGUUGGUUGUUUUAAAGCUUAAUGUAUGUUUCUAUUUUAAAAUAAAUUUUUCUGGUUGUGGC